AUUGAACGCUGGCGGCAGGCCAACACAUGCAAGUCGAACGGUAACAGGAAGCAGCUUGCUGCUUCGCUGACGAGUGGCGGACGGGUGAGUAAUGUCUGGGAAACUGCCUGAUGGAGGGGGAUAACUACUGGAAACGGUAGCUAAUACCGCAUAACGUCGCAAGACCAAAGAGGGGGACCUUAGGGCCUCUUGCCAUCGGAUGUGCCCAGAUGGGAUUAGCUAGUAGGUGGGGUAACGGCUCACCUAGGCGACGAUCCCUAGCUGGUCUGAGAGGAUGACCAGCCACACUGGAACUGAGACACGGUCCAGACUCCUACGGGAGGCCGCAGUGGGGAAUAUUGCACAAUGGGCGCAAGCCUGAUGCAGCCAUGCCGCGUGUAUGAAGAAGGCCUUCGGGUUGUAAAGUACUUUCAGCGGGGAGGAAGGGAGUAAAGUUAAUACCUUUGCUCAUUGACGUUACCCGCAGAAGAAGCACCGGCUAACUCCGUG
This 489-nucleotide ribosomal RNA is filed under the name uncultured bacterium. RNAcentral describes it as "partial 16S ribosomal RNA". It matches the Rfam family "Bacterial small subunit ribosomal RNA", at positions 30 to 507 of the family's 1533-position model. The record is from RNAcentral.